GCCGACAUAGCUCAGAUGGUAGAGCGCGUCCAUGGUAAGGACGAGGUCUCGGGUUCGAUCCCCGAUGUCGGCUCCA
RNAcentral lists this transfer RNA (76 nucleotides) under Patescibacteria group bacterium. RNAcentral describes it as "tRNA-Thr". It matches the Rfam family "tRNA". Rfam says of the family: Transfer RNA (tRNA) molecules are approximately 80 nucleotides in length. The record is from RNAcentral.